GGGAGAUACAUAUAAUUAGAGAAUAUGCAGAUACAUCUUCAAUUUCUUUAUUUAUCAAAUCAUGGAUGUCAUGUGGCCAGUACGUGUAACACAACUAGGCAUAUACUAUAAUAGAAAGAGGUUGUUACAUGUGUCACAAUGCAACUUAAUGGUUUAGCAUAUUCACAUGAUAUUAAUUAAGGGGGUGAGUUCCAGUUAACUAUUCAACCAAGUGAAGCCUGGUUCACAUAUACCUGCUGUUUGUUGAUGGGCUAUUGUCGUUAAAAGUUCAACUAAAUAAUUCACAAAAGAAUGUAUGCAUCAACAGCUGUAAACAAUGAUAAUGCAGGCAUAUGUAAACCAGGCUUAAGGCCCUGUUCACAUGAACCCGGGACAGCGUUAUGUCUCGGGGCAAGCAAUUGUCGCGGGACAAAAAUUGUCUCGGCUCCUUAAUAAAAGAAUAGUGCUGUUCACAUGAUAUUUUACUUGCCCCGGGACAAGAAUUGACCCGAGUGCCUCGCCUCUGUAGAAAUGGACACUCGCCUAGCCGGGACAACUUUUCCUCAUGUGAACACUUUGCCCCGUGGCAACUUUGUCCUGGGAUAAUUACAUUUUUUGUAAAACGAUCAAAAUCGCGGCUAAAAUUACAUUUAGAGCACGUUGGACUCCACAAAAACUUGUUAUUUGAUUGAAGAUACCAUUAGAAAUCUAUAAGUGAUGAUUCUAAUAAUAUUAAAAUAAAAUUGUCGCUAAUAUCAUGUUUGAAACCAAGAAGUGUAGC
This is a non-coding RNA of Paramuricea clavata, 760 nucleotides long. The record is from the annotation of a GenBank genome assembly. Lineage: Eukaryota; Metazoa; Cnidaria; Anthozoa; Malacalcyonacea; Plexauridae.